Molecule: transfer RNA, 75 nt
Filed under: Candidatus Brocadia sp.
Lineage: Bacteria; Pseudomonadati; Planctomycetota; Candidatus Brocadiia; Candidatus Brocadiales; Candidatus Brocadiaceae
Description: tRNA-Gly
Rfam family: tRNA
About the family: Transfer RNA (tRNA) molecules are approximately 80 nucleotides in length. Their secondary structure includes four short double-helical elements and three loops (D, anti-codon, and T loops). Further hydrogen bonds mediate the characteristic L-shaped molecular structure. tRNAs have two regions of fundamental functional importance: the anti-codon, which is responsible for specific mRNA codon recognition, and the 3' end, to which the tRNAs corresponding amino acid is attached (by aminoacyl-tRNA synthetases). tRNAs cope with the degeneracy of the genetic code in two manners: having more than one tRNA (with a specific anti-codon) for a particular amino acid; and 'wobble' base-pairing, i.e. permitting non-standard base-pairing at the 3rd anti-codon position.
Source: RNAcentral
GCGGGUGUAGCUCAGUGGUAGAGCGUCACGUUGCCAACGUGAAUGUCGAGGGUUCGAACCCCAUCACCCGCUCCA